GGAAGAAACUGAGGAACCAGAUUGUGACGUAUAAAAUGCUUGAAUUUUCCAAAGUCAAACUCAAAGUCUGCUUUCCAAAAAUCAGAGAUAUGAGCAGAUUUGGUGAUGAGACGAAGGAUCUGAGGAAGCAGUCUUUGCACUACAGGACACCUGAUUAUUCUCAGUUGAAACUAAAAGUCCAUUUUUCCCCAAAAACUCCUACACAUCACCAA
Long non-coding RNA from Thalassophryne amazonica, 212 nucleotides. RefSeq lists it as uncharacterized. The transcript has 3 exons. The record is from RefSeq and is a predicted model, not a curated record. NCBI's taxonomy places the organism in Eukaryota, Metazoa, Chordata, Actinopteri, Batrachoidiformes, Batrachoididae.